This is a long non-coding RNA of Panicum virgatum (switchgrass), 14326 nucleotides long. RefSeq lists it as uncharacterized. Lineage: Eukaryota; Viridiplantae; Streptophyta; Magnoliopsida; Poales; Poaceae. The transcript has 7 exons. The record is from RefSeq and is a predicted model, not a curated record.
GAGCACUGGGUGCUCGGGGGGAUGGAUCCAUGGAUCAUUGGAUGGAUGGGCGUGCUACUGAUCCCCUGGCAGCUCGAUUAGCUAGCAGGCUGUCAUUAGCUAGCACUGCUUCAAGCUCCGGCUGCCGCUGGUGCUGACACUGACGGCCGCUCUCAGUCUCAGCUCAGCGUACUUAAAAAUAAUCCCGGAGCUAGCGGGCUCACUCCCCCCAGGCUCAGGAGCUUAGCUUCUUAAGCGAGCCCAGGUAGUAGUAGUACAAGCCACCGUCCCAUCCACCAGGCCGUCGCCCACCUCCACUCCAUCCGUUCUUGCUCCUCCUGCUCCAAGUACGGCGGCCGCCGCCGCUCACCGGAUCCGAGAAGAACGGCCGGACGACUCGUCUCCCUGUCGAUUGCUCCUCCAUGCAUGUUCCUUUUGUGCUCGCUAUUAUCCCGUGAUUAUUACAGGGGAAAAGAGGCGUGAGAUUAGAAGGCCCAGAAGAGAUUGACAGAAGAGAGCGAGCACCCGGCGCCGCGGCCGGCAUGGAGCGCAUGCCGUCUCCGCCGCGUGCUCGCUCCUCUUUCUGUCAGCCUCUCUCUCGUCCUGACCGGGCCGCGACGGCCGGCCGGCUCGCUCUGAUCUGGGCUGCCACGCCACGCGCAGCGAGGCAGGCGAGACAGACACCGCCACCACCACCAAUACUGGAAUUGGGGGGAUCGGGAACCGUACCACGCGGAGAUGGACGACACGCAUGCUGCGCGAGGGCGGCGGCUUUUGCAGGCAGCAAGGACAUGUCACCUCAUUAUCUUCUAGAGGCUGUCGCGGGGCUACUACCGAGGAAGAGGAUGAGGAUUGGAGGCUGCCGCUGCCGCUGAAUUGCUGAUACUGAUGGCCCGGCCAUACACGGCAUGGAGGCCGGGGAGUUGAAAGAGUACUUGCUUGCUUCCACGCCUCGCAGGGAGGGAGCGAGCGAGCGAGUUUGCGACGUGCUGCCUUGGGAGCUGAAUCGGGGAGGUGCUGACAGUACACUGCGGCACUGUGAGGAUUUAACAGAACAAAGACUACUGCAGUUCUCCUGCGGCCAUGGCGAUGCAGGUGGCUGUGCCGCUGUGGAUCGGAGCUCCUGUUGGCUCAAAAAUGGGGCAUGGAGGGCACCAUGUGAUGAUCCGUAUUUGGCAAAGGCAGUGGACUCACCUUGCUUUUGCCAGAUCUGGUUUGCUUCAAGGUACCUUGUUUGUAUCUCUCUACAAUCACACAACUAGUCAGCUACACAAGUCACGCACACAUAACCCCUAUAUGGUUGCUGCUGCCCCCCUCCUCGAUCGGCCUUCUUGAUUUUUCAUCUCCUCUCUCUACUCUCGUAUCAUCAUGUCCUCGUCUCUCUACCUCGGUCUCUUAGAGACGCAGGGAGAGUAGAGAAGAAGCUGCUAAUUUUUACAGGCUUGCUAGCUGAUGAACAUGUUUGUAUUUGGUAAGAGCCACUGCUCUUUCGUUUCAUUGUUUUCAUGGCUUCAGCGUGGCCUGCUUUACCAUUCAUUAUCUUGUGGCCCUUCAUCAUGGAUGUUCUGUUGACCCAUUCGCUGCUGCUGCUGCUGCUUUCUUCCCUUUUAUUUCUUUCCUUCUUUCAGGAUUUGGGCGUCAUGAAUUAACGGGCCACACAAUUCGCAUAUUUUGCUUAUGACCAAGGUAUGCACAUCAGCACAAACCAUUUCUUUCUAGUAGCAAAUUGAGCGUAAUAAACGUAUCGUUUGCGGUUCUAAAAAAAAGUUGUUGCUCGUUUUGUGCACAUGUUGUUGAUAUUUGGAUCUUUCAAGUAGUUUUGAUAUGUUCCAACGACUUUUCAUUUGAAAGUUUAUGUGCUACUCCAACGACUAGGUAGGAGUAGAUUUGAUGGAAGAAACUUGGAAUGCAAAGACCAUUUCAUGAGAUGAACCGACAUUUUAUCUGCAUCCCUUGUUGAGUGCAAAAUGGAUUGGCUGCGUUAGAAGUAAUAUCAUCUGGGGUAGCUGUUAAGUUAAAAUCAGGUGGGUUGUAGAAUAUUCGGUUUUCUGGUGCUAUAUAUCUAUUAAUCUCAUCUUCAGAAAUCAAGAUAAUUGGAGCAUAUAAUCAAGGUUAAGUGGCAAUAACUUAAUCUUUGUCCUAGAUAGUGGAGCACCUUUUUGUUGCCUUUCUCCACUUCAAGAGAGAGGAUACAUGUGGUAUAUGCAGAGAGAAUGAACCAUUAUAUCAGUUGAAUCUUAGUUCAAGUGCAUUGCAGUUUGUUUGGGGUUGAAAUGUGCUGGAUUAGGUCUGCUACAUGAUUAAAAAUUGAAUGUUAGACCAUGCAAGCUAAUUUAUAGUUUCAUGUUUUUUCUGUGGAAUGCUAGUUUUGGUUUCAGGCCAGGCCGUUUAUUUUUUAAAAAACUCAGUAACAAAUUAAAGAAAGGCAGACUUCCCUUCUUCUGAGAAAAAAAAAUAUGGAGGAAAAAAACUGUCAUGCAACCAUACUGUGCUGCUUCCUCUGCAUGCAUGUUUUCUAACAUUGCAAACCACUAAACCAGCACCAUAUGAUGAACCAAUACCACCAUAUGUCAAGCAGCAAUAUAUGUCUAAAACUUACUUUCUAUGGUUGCAAAAAGAAAAAAGCUCCUGUUCAUCUUGGUUUUCUUGCUGUUCUGUUGGCUUACUUACUGAACUGCACUACACUCCAAAUAUAUAUACAGUUGGGAAAAUGAAUACUGAUCCAACAGAUGAAACUUGAAACUUUUUUAUAUAUAUAGUAUGGCCCCUAUACCAUGGUGAGUGAUAUGGAGCAAAUAUGAGUUGCAAUAGCUUUAUAUGAGGGGUUCAUGGCACUCGCUUUACUAGUUAAUAAAUAAUCUAGAAACAUCACACUGAUUACAUAAUGUUACUUCGAAGUGACUUGUGUAUUGUUGAAAUGAAUCUGACUGUUGAAUUGGAUGAACCAUUUAGCAAGUCCAUUCCUUUGCACUGAAUUAUUUUCAAGUAUUUAUCCUAAUUGUAUAGAGUAGUUCAUGGCAAAGGAACCCCAGCUACAAAGAUUUUCAGAAAGGGGAAUUCAGGUGAGAAAUAGGUAAGACUAGUAAUUCAUAGUUGAGGGCGUUUGGACAAAAAAAUGGUGACUAUUACUAGAUCAUUGCCUCAGGUUGACUAGUAAUUAUAGUAAGGGUGUAAGGAUCGUGGCCCAAGAAGGGGGGUUGAAUUGGGAUUUUUUCAAAAUUCUAUCUAAUCCUUAACCUAGACUAGUAUUGCUCAAUCUAUAAAUUUGAAACCUAGUCACUAGAGCAUGCUAGCACAAGGUCCUUAGGUAGGUAAACACACUAUCAUGAUCAUGUUACCUAAAAGAUAUCACACUAGCAAGAUCAAGACCUAAACAAAAGGUCACACUACCAUGCAAGUUGUCCUAGUCAAACUACAAGCAAUCAAAGGCAAGAGUAGCAACAAAACGAUUUAAUUACUUGAAAUGAAAGUAAGAGACACGAGACAACCGGAUUUUUUCCCGUGGUAUCGAGGAGUUGACGCUUCCUCCUAAUCCACGUUGGAGCACCCACACAAGGGUAUAGCUCCCUUGCUUCACCAAGGAGCAAGUGAUCACUAAGAAUGCUCUUUCUCCAUCUCCGGAACGGCGAGCUUCACACCGUGUACAAUCUUUUUAUCUUGGGGCUCCUACAAACUCCAAGAGCUCACCAAGAACCUCUCGAUCACCAAGACCGGCUAGGUGCCGUCAAACACCAAGAGUAACAAGCUCCUAAGCCUUCACUUGACCUACACUCAGUUGGCCCUAGCUCAAGCACACUUGCUACACUUGCAAAGGAUGAAAUCUUCAAGGUUGAAGCACAAACAAUUCACUAGAUCUUUUCUCUUUUGCUCAAAGCACUUUCUCUUCUUCUCAAGGGUGGCCUCAGGUAUUCAGAGUGUCAAAGGCAACUGAAAUGAGCCAUGGGGUGCCCUUAUAUAGAGUGGAAAGAGUUACAUAACCGUUGGAAGUCCACUGCAGAAAAACCGUGAGCACCGGAAGAACCGAUGGGUGUCAGAUUUGAGGCGUCGGUUCAACCGGUCUCUCUGUGUCCAAAUUGUAGCCGUUGGUGUUCUGACACAGUAUCCAGGCUUGUAUCAUUGCACCGGUGCAUGCUCCGUAGGGCAUCGGUUCAACCGGUGCUGAAGAGGUUCACUGAUCAACUCAAACAAGCUCUCUGGAACAUAUGACGUCUAAUGCACCGGUGCUUUGAUUCUGAGGCGUCGGUUCAACCGGUGCUGAAGAGAAGUUGAAGUCCACCAAAACAUGCUCUCUGGAACAAGGUACAUCCAAUACACUGGUGCUUAUCUUUUGACCGUCGGUUCAACCGGUGCUAGAGAGUUUGACUUAGUUCCUGCCUAUAUCCAGAGAAGAUAGACCGACAGGGCAUCGGUCCUUCCGCCAAGCAUCGGAUGCUCCGACGCUAGGGCACCGGUUCAACCGGUGCUACUGUUUUUCUAUGUUUUCAGCUGAAUUGACUUGGAUUGGAAUGUGGCUUUGAUUGUUUCUUCUUCCAAGAGUUGUGUUAGCUUCUAUUGACCAUCUUUUGCUGUUUUUGAGUGAGUGUGCAAGAUUUCUAAGGCCAACUCAAUUUCGAUCAAGCUACUAACUCAUGAACCCUUCUUAAUAGUACGGUCAAGAACUAAAAACUAUAAACCCUAGCUAAAUCAAGUGUCCUUCAUCUCCUUGUGACACUUGAGACUAGAAAGGUCCUUAAUCUUUAAAAUUGAGUCCUUGGCACGCAUGGUUGUUCCGAAUUGAGGGGUCUCUUUUCACAUUUCAUAUGAGACUAAAUUAAUCAUUAAUUUAUCCUUCAAAACACACGUUAGUCGCAUACGGUUGUCAUUAAUCACCGAAACUUACCAUUAACAUCUAUCGGCCUAGAUGCACUUCAAAGGGGCCAGAAUCAUUGCCUUAGGUUGAGCAAUUAUAUGAGGAGAAUUUCACUAUUAUUAUUUCUAGGUUUGAUCGCAAUGAGAAUCCCCUAGCGUUGAUGUGUUUAACCGGUCGAAGUUGGGUCUCACCUCUCCCAUGAUUAAUCAGGCAAAGAUAUUGUUGAACUCUCACAUGCCAUCAAGGAUUUAGAUUAGGAUUUCUGAAACAAAGUUGAUCAACCCAUAUUGAAACCCAAACAAUUUAUAUAAAAAAUGUACUCUAGUGGUUUCUAGGGUAUCUGCUCUACCGCAACAUUAGUUUUUCACUAGGAAUGAGGCAUGUAAAUUCUUUUAGAGGUAAAUUACAAUCCUUAUAAGUGAAGUAAAUGAAUGUGGAUUAUAAAAGGGUCUAUAGAGAUAAUAACUUGUCACAUCAAACUUGUCUCAAGGUACUCUGCUUGCUUGUCAGCCAACCAGCCAGCAGUGUUUUUCUCUCACACCGAAUCAACAUCAGCCACUAGCCACCAGCCAGUCGGCAGUAUUUUUCUCUCACAACAAAUCAGCACCAGCCACAGCCAGUUGAACAGAGUGAGAAAGUUGCUGAUCUUUCUUUGUGGAACAUCUAAACAAGGGUUUUACUGCUUGCUCAAUGGAGUUUUCUCAGUCUAACAACAUUUUUAACUCCUGUUUGAUUGUCAUUCAAAACAAACGGGUAAUUUUGCAUUAAUUCUUAUCAGAGUUGAACGUUUAAGCACAUACCCAGUUUAACUGACACCACUAGUGGUUUAACCAUCGUUCAAUUUUUCGAGGAAAAAAAACAUCAACUGGUUUGGUUUUUUCAAGUCCGUUUCAUCGGUUUAACCACAAUUAUGGAUAGUUAAGCUGCAUCACAAAGUCCACUCAUCUGUAUCUUGUCACCAUUUUCAGAGUUUACUCAUAUAUCCUUCUCUGUCAAACUAAGUUAUACCUCGUGCAUGAAAUUUUAGUUUGAACAAAGUGGCAACUAAUAGAUUCUUCAAAUAAAUGAACGUUGCCCUUUAUUAAUAGAAUGGUUAUCUAGGUUUUUUAUCUACUCACUUCUCAUCCUCUGCCAAUCAAGUCUUCAUCCAUGCUCACACCACUACAUCCAUGUAGCUCAAAUUUCAUCACCGGCUAUAUUAUUUACCAAAUAGAAUUGUUAGUCCAUCAAUAACAAAAUCCAAAUUAGGGACCUAGGAACAUAUAAGUUGUUAAGUAUAUCACAUGCUCUGCUCUGUUUGGGAUUUGGGAUGGAGAGGGGGAAACAGAAUCUUGGUUAUUGGUACAGAUCGGUUUGGAGCUUCAGUGUGGAUGACGACAGGUGGAGAUGGCUGCUGGGGUGGAAUUCCAUCGUAUCCUAGCAUGCCGAACGGUGUGCAUGACGGUGGUGGUUGAGGCGCACCGGUGUGGAAGAUCUCAAGCAUGGACACGGACGGCUCGCUGGGGAACAAUGACGGCCGCCCUUCCAUGAUGGCUAGACGGGUCGCAAAUUGACUCAUCUGCCUCUGGAGAUCAUAGAUGGCGGUGGUGAGUGUGUUCAAGACGGGGAAUUGCCCUCAGAGGCCGGGGCAGCGGAGGUCGGACGGUUUCGAGUUUGUGGCUGGCGGAGCUGACGAGGACCGUGAGUGGUUCACCACGGCCGGUUGAGUGGCGAUGGCGGGUGCGGCAGAGCCGGAGUUGCAUGAGGGGCUUGACAUAUCUGAUACCAGAGUGUCAGGGCUAUGGCUGCAGCGUAGGUUGUAGCUAUGGAAUGUGGGCAGCUAGGGCGAGGGCUCCCGGCGGCGGCGCUGCCUCGACGCCGUCCUGACGCCAGCAUCGAGCAGGGAAAGUACGCUAGCGAGAAUACAGAAGAUCUGAUUGAUCUCCAACUUAGUUCCGUUUACAAAUCAAAUAAACCCACAUGCUAACAACUGCCUACACGAUCUACUCUGUAACCGACGAGGAGCGUGCUCUCCAUGGCGCGUUCCCGAGUGCGACGUCGCGUCACGCCGCGCAUCUCCUUUCGGCCAUGGACGUUCCUUCUCCUUUCAUAUACGCGGCCCACCAUAACAUUAUGUUUUGUGCUUAUCUAUACAGUGUCAUAUACUUGCUUCUUUACUAGGACUGAUUCCUCCAUCCAUCAGAUGCACGAACUGUUUAGCCAUUCCUGUAGAAAUAUUGUCCUUUUCCACUUGCAUUUUCUGGAGAUCUCUAAAGUUGUUCUGUUCAUGUACAUUAUUGAAGUAACUAUUUGCAGGGUGCAGUCUCUUAUCAAUUUUGUGUGUGUUUCUGACAAUUGGAAUCAAUCAUGCAAGCGGCUUCUGUUAAAAAUGAAGCUGGAUUGUCGCAAUUUCACCUCACUGGAUGUUUUCUGUUCAACUCGGUUGUACUUCAAAUCUUCAACCGCAGGUGGACUUGUUCUUGCUUCACUUGAAAUGGUGGCCAAUUUUCUUAGGACAUUGCAGGGUUACAUCAUGGACUUUGAAAUCGGUAGUUUAUUCUGGGGUUGUUUUCUGCAAUUUUUCUCAUAUAAUUCUGUGUUUAAAUAAGUGAGAACGCAUUUCACUAUCAAAUUUUGGAGAAAAAAAUUGAAGGAACAUUUUCCUACUUUCUUAUGAAUAUCAAAACAAUUGUAUGUUCUUUUUAUUUAAAAAAAUUGAACAAUGGUCAGGCAUAUAUGCUUGUACUUACAUACUUGUGCACAUGUUUAUGCGAAUUAGUAAGUUUGUCUAUAAAAGUCAUUCAGGUCCUAUUGUCCUUUCAGGGGUACUCUUCUAAGUUGUACUACCUGGCACCUGCAGAUUACAUUGACAAGGUUUUACCAUCUGUAGAUUGAAUUAUUAGAAAGAAAGGUGCCUUUCUGAAGUUGCAGGUUUUUCUCUUCCACUAUCUGUGAUAUUGAGACUUACUGUGAUUUAAUGAUUUAACUCAACAAUGCUGCAGUUGAUGUUUUUAUAAAGGCAUUAUUUUCAUUUAAAUUUUGAACUUGGGAGAUUGGCCUUUGCACUUAGUAAUAUGACUUGCUUUAUCAAGUAUACAAGAAUAAAAAUUUGCCACAGUUUUCUAACCGAACAGAGUUGUUCAUGUUGUGAAUUUCCCAAGUGUUUUUCUAAUCCUCUCUCUGAACAAAAUUUGAAAGACAAAAUUUGAAAAAAUUGAGCAGUGAGGUGGUUUUGUUCCCUUUUGUUUUAAGUGAUUAGGAUUUCCCCCCAAGAAUACAAGUGGUUAAACACUUAAGAUAUUCCUUUUUACCGGGCUGGAAAAGUAAUACAGCUAAAUUUGUUAUGAGUGAGCGGAUUAGAUACAGUUCGUGGGGCAAAAGAGCUAGCCAUAAGCCAUCUUUGAAGUACCUUCUGGAAUUUAUUUCAGCUGAAUGCCUAUCUCGCCACAAGAAUGACCAUAUUCACUGGUGUGCCAUGUUUUCAAGCAUACUGUAGCAGAUGCUUGUUUUUUUUCCCAAAAAUCAAAAUGAAUGACUCGUUACUAUGAUGUUCCUGUCCCUUCUCCUUCCAUACAAAAAGGUAUUCAUGAAAUCUGUUUCAAUUUAGACAUACAAAUGCAGUAUAAAAUAGGUUACUAAUUGCUAUGGUAUGCCCGCCCUUUCUCCUUUCUUAGAAAAACCUGAAUUAAUAUGCACAAAAUGUAGAAUACAUGAGCUGUUUUAGGAAUGAUGUAGGCGUUUUGGUAUCAAAAUUCAGAAGAAGUCCAUCAACUUAUGAUUUUACCACCUCCAUAUGGCAGUGACUUAUAGCUAAUUUUCGGCAGAUUUAUCUACUUCUUGCUCCUCCUACUUUCUUUCCGAAAAUAGGACUAAGAACUUACUUCAUUAAAAGGAAAUUGUUUAGAAGCUGUUAAGUAUAUAUGUAUAUGUAUGUAGUAGUAUAGAUAAGAUAGCUAUUUGGCGCAUAUGGUCAUGUGGUCCAUGUGGCCCAUAUCCCUUGUAUAUACGUUGAAUCGUUGCUCUAAUGGAGAUAUUCUGGAUCUUUCCUCAGUUCCAGCAUGGAAUUAGAGCAGGUUGGCUCCUCCCCACCGUCGCCGACGCUCGCCCUGCUCUAGCCCUCCCUUCCCGCCCCUAUUGGCCGCCGUCGCGGCCCUGUCUGCCGCCCGUCGCGGCGCCCGUCCCCGCCGGCUCCUCGCACCGCCCGUCGCGGCGCCUGUCUCCGCCGGCUCGUCCUCGCGCCGGCCCGUCGUCGCCCGCUGUCCGCUCAUCCUCGUCCGGCCGUCCCCACCUCCUUCAUCUGCUGGCUGCCAUCGCGGCCGCCUCAGCUCCGCCCGUCGCGGAACCAUCCUCGUGUCGCCGUCCGGCUGCCAUCGCGGCUUGUCGUCGCUGCCAUCCCGCCGGCGCGGCCUUCCUCGUCCUCGUUUGUGCUAGUUGCCUCUCCGAUUGCUCUCACGGCUGGUCAUCUUCCGCUGCUCCUAUAUAUUGCUAUUUGCCUAUUUUGCUGUUAUCUGGAUUCUCGGUGAAAUGUGGGGUUUCUUCAAAGAGGGAUAUCAACAGAAAAGGGCUCAAUGUUAUCACUGUGGUCGCUGAAAUCACCCUGCCCAGCGUUGUUUUAAGAAAUAUCCCCAUCUUUUGAGAGAAUUCAGGGCCAAGCGAGCUGUAUCUCAAUGCAGCAAUGGUGUUGCUCCUCCUAUUGCUUCCUUUUCAGUUAUGCCUCCUAACCCUAUUUCCACAGCACCCCCGUCUUCACCAAUUAUCAAUACCUACAUGUCCAGUGGCUCUCCUGUGUCAGCUUCCGCUUCAGGUGUUUCUCCACCUUGGGUCUUGGACUCAGGAGCAUCGUUUCAUAUGACCUCUGAUAAAUCUCAGUUGGUUUUAUGUCAACCUGUUACUAAUUGUCAACAUAUUCAAACUGCUGACGGUAGUACCUGCACAGUUACCCAUCAUGGCAAUCUUGCUACUUCCCAAUUAACCGUUUCAAAUGUUUCCAUUGUACCCCAACUUUCUAUGAAUCUUAUGUCUGUCGGUCAGCUUACCGACAUGAAUUGUUUUGUUGGGUUCAAUGAUACCUCUUGUUUUGUUCAAGAUCGUCACACAGGAGCUCUUCUUGGUACUGGCCAUCGCCAUAAGAAUUCCUUUGGCCUCUACAUCCUUGAUCAUCUACAUUUGCCACCGUCGUUAUCCACAUCUUCAUCAUUAUCUUCAUCUUUUGCUUUUGCUGCAGUUCCCUUUCGUCAGUGGCAUCAUCGCUUAGGCCAUUUAUGUGGUUCGCAUCUAUCCACCUUAAUUAAACAGGGUGUUCUUGGUGAUGUGCCUAUGGACUCUUCUUUUCAUUGUACUAGUUGUAAGCUGGGCAAACAAAUACAAUUGACAUAUCCUACUAGUACCUCUAGAACUAAUAAUCCUUUUGAUCUUGUUCAUUCUGAUGUCUGGGGUCCUGCUCCUUUUACUUCAAAAGGUGGUCACAAAUACGAUGUUAUCUUUGUUGAUGAUUACUCUCGGUAUACCUGGAUUUACUUUGUGAAGCAUCGUUCUCAACUGUUAUCUAUAUAUCAGUCCUUUGUUCGUAUGAUUCACACCCAAUUCUCGUCUUCUAUUCGCAUUUUUCAUUCUGAUUCUAGGGGGGAGGGAAUAUUUAUCCAUUGCCUUUCGUCAAUUUCUUUCAUCUGAAGGCACUCUUGCUCAAUUAUCAUGUCUGGGUGCUCAUGCACAAAAUGGUGUUGCCGAGCGCAAACAUCGUCAGAUAAUUGAAACUGCCCGUACUCUAUUGAUUGCAUCUUUUGUACCUGUUCAUUUCUGGGCUGAGGCUGUAUCCACUGCUGUUUAUCUCAUAAAUCUACAGCCUUCAUCUCGUCUUCAGGGCAAGUGUCCUGGAGAGGUCUUGCAUGGAUCCCCUCCUAGUUAUGAUCAUCUUCGAGUGUUUGGAUGCACAUGUUAUGUUCUUCUUUCUCCUCAUGAGCGCACUAAGCUGACUGCGCAAUCGGUUGAGUGCGUUUUUCUUGGCUACAGUCUUGAGCAUAAGGGUUAUCAUUGCUAUGAUCCUUCUGCUCGUCGUAUCCGUUUUUCUCGAGAUGUUACUUUUGAUGAGACUCGUCGCUAUUUUUACUCGUCCACUCUUCCAUCAACAUCAUCCCUUGAAUCUCUCUCGUUUCUUUCUUUGCCACCUAUCUUCAUAGAAUCACCUGUGCCACCACCUGUGCCAUCAUCUGUUCCAUCCACGGAGCCUAUCGUGCCUGUUCAUACACCUCCAGACUCUGCUGAUACUUCUCCCCCAUCUGCACCCCUAAAUUCUUCUAAUCCUUCUCCAUCUGCACCUCCACCAGCUCCUUCUAUUACUCCUUUUCCUCUUCACUAUAGUCGACGUACUCAUAUACCACCUACUUCCCCAGCUAUUCCUGCCAGUACCACAGAAGAUGCUACUUCCAAUGAUGCUACAUCCUCUUCAUCUCCUCGUUAUAAUCUUAGAGACCAUUCUACUAUUUCUGCUCCUGACCGGUUUGGUUUUUGUGGUGCUAUUUGUGAGCCAUCUACCUAUCAGGAGGCAGUUGGUAUUCCAGUUUGGGAGGAUGCUAUGGCUGAGGAAUUUGCAGCUUUGCGGCGUACUGGUACCUGGGAAGUGGUUCCCUUACCUGUACAUGCUGUCCCUAUAACGUGCAAAUGGGUGUACAAAAUUAAAACUAAGACGGAUGGUUCUAUUGAAAGAUACAAAGCUCGCCUAGUAAUUCGCGGUUUUCAGCAGUCUUAUGGGCGUGACUAUGAGGAAACUUUUGCUCCGGUUGCUCAUAUGACCACUAUUCGAGCUCUUAUUGCUGUGGCUUCCAUUCGCUCAUGGACCAUAUCUCAAAUGGAUGUCAAAAAUGCUUAUCUUCACGGUGAUUUACAUGAAGAGGUCUAUAUGCAGCCACCUCCAGAUGUGAAAGUUCCUCCUGGAUAUGUUUGCCGCCUUCGUCGUUCUCUUUAUGGUCUCAAACAAGCACCAAGAGCCUGGUUUGAGCGUUUUAGCUCAUUUAUUACAACAGCUGGUUUCAUUCCGAGUGAUCAUGAUCCUGCUUUAUUCGUUCACAUAUCUGCUCGUGGUCGCACACUGCUGCUUCUUUAUGUGGAUGAUAUGCUCAUUACUGGAGAUGAUCAUGACUAUAUUGCCUUUGUUAAAAAAUCGUCUUCGUGAGCAAUUCAUGAUGUCUGAUUUGGGACCUUUGAGUUAUUUUUUGGGCAUUGAGAUAACUUCCACGCCUGAUGGUUAUUAUCUCUCUCAGCAAAAGUAUAUUUAGGAUCUACUACUUCGUUCUGGUCUUACUGACACUCGGACAGCAGCAACUCCCAUGGAGUUACAUCUUAAAUUGCGACCCAAUGAUGGUGUUCCUCUUCAGGAUCCCUCUCGAUAUCGUCAUCUUGUAGGUAGUCUUGUCUACCUUACUGCCACUCGACCUGAUAUUGCACAUGCAAUUCAUAUUCUUAGCCAGUUUGUAAGUGCACCCACCUCUGUCCAUUAUGCACACUUGCUUCGGGUCUUGCGGUAUCUCAUAGGGACAUCAUCAAAAUGCUUGUAUUAUGCUAGAACCAGUCAGCCCAAGCUGCAUGCUUAUUCUGAUGCUACCUGGGCAAGUGAUACUACUGAUCGUCGUUCUAUUACGGGCUAUUGCAUUUUUCUUGGUACUUCUCCCAUUACCUGGAAAUCCAAGAAAUAAACUGCAGUUUCACGGUCAAGUGCAGAAGCAGAACUUAGAGCUCUUGCUACAACCACUGCAGAAAUUGUUUGGCUUCGUUGGUUGUUGGCUGAUUUUGGAGUUCUUUGCUCAGAUCCUACUCCUCUUCGUUGUGACAGUACUAGUGCUAUUCAAAUUGCCAAUAAUCCAGUGAAGCAUGAGUUAACUAAACAUAUUGGUGUUGAUGCAUCUUUUACAAGAUCUCAUUGUCAGCAAUCAACAAUUGAUCUUCAAUAUGUUCCUUCUGAGGUUCAAGUGGCUGAUUUCUUCACCAAGGCCCAGACUCAAGAUCAGCAUCAUUUCCAUUUAUCCAAACUCAAUGUGUCAGAUUUGAUCUCUUCUCAUCCACCUUGAGUUUGGGGGGGGGGGGUGUUAAGUAUAUAUGUAUAUGUAUGUAGUAGUAUAGAUAAGAUAGCUAUUUGGCCUAUAUGGUCAUGUGGCCCAUAUCCCUUGUAUAUACGUUGAACCCUUGCUCUAAUGGAGAUAUUCUGGAUCUUUCCUCAAUUCCAGCAGAAGCAACCAACGCCAAAUCAAGACAAACUUGCUUGGCUGAAUUACAUAAAGGCCACUACUCGUGGUAUAGCACGCAACCAAGGGGAACUACGCAAACACAGCAGAAGGCAACUACUCGGUAGGUUUGGAUGAAGUAUAAAAUGCAGAAUAGCUAAUGGUUCAUGGCCAUGUGCAUUGGUGGAUGAAAAAACAAAUAUAAUGGCUGCUCGUGCUUUGUAUUAGUGUAUAUAUAUGAAAUCAGAGAUCUGAGUGGAUAUAUAUCUAGUAGUGUUUGCCUCUUUUCUGACCACCCUGUUGUUGAAUAGGCAAAAAGGUUGCUUAUAAUCUGGCAGAAAAUACCAUAUUUCCAUGCUAAGAGAAUGAUCAUUCCAGUAUUGCAAAUGUCUCAGGAACUGCUACAUUCAAUGAAGCUAGCUAUGCAUUCCCAAUGUCAAAGAGGUUGAUUGUAGACGCAACAGGAUACAUGUGCAAUACUGCUAGAGCCUAGAGGGAUAGAGAAACAUGAAUUACUACAGAUCAGCCGUCAGGUUACCAAAUGAAUCUGCCAGCUUUUGAGGAACCAUAAACAAGAAGCAGCAGCUAAACGGCCGUGGUGAACGUGGAACUGAAUUUUGGAGGCACGCAGUGAAGGUCAAAGUUUGCUGCUGGUGAGUAAGUGAAUUGCCAAUAUCUUCUGUUUCAGCCAGAGCAAGGCGUUCAGUGCCCGUCAGCGCGAAUCCAACCACUCAAGGGAUGGUUACCCACUGAACUAUGAAAUGUUGCUGUACGAUCGUCAGUUACGACUUACGACUUGCCACUGACUUUCAGCCUGCUUGUUGGAGAGACAUCGCACUCCAGAUCAGUUGAGGCCUUGAUGCUAAACAUUGCGUUUGUUACUUAGCUGCCAAUGCAAAGUUCACUCGAGCUGGACGGUUCCCCGCCAAUCCGCCAUUCCAACAGCUGGCUGCCUAAAGAAAUUGAUGCAGUUAGUACACGAGUAGUACCAGUUUCUAGCACAAGUGUAGUGAAUGUAAUGUGGCACUGGUGCUGGUACUGUACAUGAUCUAGUUUAUUGCUUGGUGGCCGUCAUUCCAACAACUUUCUCAACCUCUGAGGAACAAACUACCAGAUAUAAUAUAACCAAAGGUGGUGGUCAUCAUCUCCCAUGUGAAGACGAAUGGCCUCCUCAGUAGGAGCAGAGGGUUAUCGAGUGAGCACUGCUAUACAAACGACUCAUCUGUAUGCAUAUAUGAUUCUGUUACAAGCAGGGAGAUCAAAAUGUUCAAAUCGUUUUGUUGCUGUUCAUUUAUGUGAAACAUUU